UGUGUAGGCGGAUUGGUAAGUCAGGUGUGAAAGCCUUGGGCUCAACCCAAGAAGAGCAUUUGAUACUGCCAUUCUAGAAUUCAGGAGAGGAAGAUGGAAUUCCCGGUGUAGAGGUGAAAUCCGUAGAUAUCGGGAGGAACACCAGAGGCGAAGGCGGUCUUCUGGACUGAUAUUGACGCUGAGACACGAAAGCGUGGGUAGCAAACAGGAUUAGAUACCCUGGUAGUCCACGCCCUAAACGAUGGUUACUAGAUGAGGUGGGAUUUGACCCCUGCCGUAUCGAAGCUAACGCGAUAAGUAACCCGCCUGGGGAGUACGGCCGCAAGGCUAAA
This 332-nucleotide ribosomal RNA is filed under the name uncultured bacterium. Its description in RNAcentral is "bacterial SSU rRNA". It matches the Rfam family "Bacterial small subunit ribosomal RNA", at positions 568 to 898 of the family's 1533-position model. The record is from RNAcentral.